Molecule: transfer RNA, 77 nt
Filed under: Klebsiella pneumoniae
Lineage: Bacteria; Pseudomonadati; Pseudomonadota; Gammaproteobacteria; Enterobacterales; Enterobacteriaceae
Also listed under: 13 other names
Description: tRNA-Arg
Rfam family: tRNA
About the family: Transfer RNA (tRNA) molecules are approximately 80 nucleotides in length.
Source: RNAcentral
GUGGCAUUAGCUCAGUCGGAUAGAGCAACUGCCUUCUAAGCGGUUGGUCGCAGGUUCGAAACCUGCAUGCUGCACCA